Molecule: ribosomal RNA, 466 nt
Filed under: uncultured bacterium
Lineage: Bacteria
Description: SSU rRNA
Rfam family: Bacterial small subunit ribosomal RNA
Source: RNAcentral
AGAACGAACGCUGGCGGCAGGCUUAACACAUGCAAGUCGGACGCUUUCGGGGGUUUCGGCCUCCGAGGGAGUGGCGGACGGGUGAGUAGCGCGUGGGAACCUGCCCCUUUGUGGGGGAUAACCGAGGGAAACUUCGGCUAAUACCGCAUGCGCCCGGGGGUAACUCCGGGGAAAGAUUUAUCGCAGAGGGGAGGGGCCCGCGUCGGAUUAGGUAGUUGGUGGGGUAACGGCCUACCAAGCCGGUGAUCCGUAGCUGGUCUGAGAGGAUGAUCAGCCACACUGGGACUGAGACACGGCCCAGACUCCUACGGGAGGCAGCAGUGGGGAAUAUUGGACAAUGGGCGCAAGCCUGAUCCAGCAAUGCCGCGUGAGUGAUGAAGGCCUUAGGGUUGUAAAGCUCUUUCGGCGGGGACGAUGAUGACGGUACCCGCAGAAGAAGCCCGGCUAACUUCGUGCCAGCAGCCGC